GAAAAUGUAGCUCAGUGGUGGAGCUUCUGUUUAGCAUGCAUGAGACCCUAGGUCUGAUCCUUAGCACUUCCA
Molecule: transfer RNA, 72 nt
Filed under: Fukomys damarensis (Damara mole-rat)
Lineage: Eukaryota; Metazoa; Chordata; Mammalia; Rodentia; Bathyergidae
Rfam family: tRNA
About the family: Transfer RNA (tRNA) molecules are approximately 80 nucleotides in length. Their secondary structure includes four short double-helical elements and three loops (D, anti-codon, and T loops). Further hydrogen bonds mediate the characteristic L-shaped molecular structure. tRNAs have two regions of fundamental functional importance: the anti-codon, which is responsible for specific mRNA codon recognition, and the 3' end, to which the tRNAs corresponding amino acid is attached (by aminoacyl-tRNA synthetases). tRNAs cope with the degeneracy of the genetic code in two manners: having more than one tRNA (with a specific anti-codon) for a particular amino acid; and 'wobble' base-pairing, i.e. permitting non-standard base-pairing at the 3rd anti-codon position.
Source: Rfam by way of RNAcentral